GGAAUUUUGGACAAUGGACGCAAGUCUGAUCCAGCCAUUCCGCGUGCAGGAUGAAGGCCCUCGGGUUGUAAACUGCUUUUGUACGGAACGAAAAGGUCUCUAUUAAUACUAGGGGCUCAUGACGGUACCGUAAGAAUAAGCACCGGCUAACUACGUGCCAGCAGCCGCGGUAAUACGUAGGGUGCAAGCGUUAAUCGGAAUUACUGGGCGUAAAGCGUGCGCAGGCGGUUAUGUAAGACAGAGGUGAAAUCCCCGGGCUCAACCUGGGAACUGCCUUUGUGACUGCAUAGCUAGAGUACGGUAGAGGGGGAUGGAAUUCCGCGUGUAGCAGUGAAAUGCGUAGAUAUGCGGAGGAACACCGAUGGCGAAGGCAAUCCCCUGGACCUGUACUGACGCUCAUGCACGAAAGCGUGGGGAGCAAACAGGAUUAGAUACCCUGGUAGUCCACGCCCUAAACGAUGUCAACUGGUUGUUGGGUCUUCACUGACUCAGUAACGAAGCUAACGCGUGAAGUUGACCGCCUGGGGAGUACGGCCGCAAGGUUGAAACUCAAAUGAAUUGACGG
Molecule: ribosomal RNA, 565 nt
Filed under: uncultured bacterium
Lineage: Bacteria
Description: bacterial SSU rRNA
Rfam family: Bacterial small subunit ribosomal RNA
Source: RNAcentral